GAUGCACGGCCUGAGCGUGAGGAGAGAGGGUGUUAGAUCCACUCGUGGGAAGACCAGGGUCCAGGUCCAAGACCCAGGUCCACGUUCAUGGCUCCAUGAUUUAAUCACCUCGAGACCUGGGUUCAUGGCUUCCCUUUGCUGAGCUUCAACUCCCCUGCGGCAACAGGAACCCUGGCCUUAGAGACCUCGGGGACAGAGGCCACACCUGCCUGGACGCCCCCCACCCCGCCCCAGGAAGGAAGGGCUGCCCCCCAAAAGCUGACUCAGGAUCAGAAGGUAUGUACCUAAGAGAAAUAACACCUAUAUCCAUCGAAAGACUGGAAUGACAAUGGCCAAAAUGGCCAGGAAUGGAGAGAAUCCCUGCUGUCCAUCAACACAACGGGUGAAGCGAACUGUUCAGACACGAUGAAAUACUACUCAACAAUGAAAAAGAAGGAACUACUGAUACAAACGACACAGUGAAUCUCAAGGUUGCUAAACAGGUGGGCAGACAGAAAACGCCCCCUAAAGGCACCCAGUACUAACCCCAGAAACUGGGAGGAGGUCGGGUGCCCUGGCAAAGCGAAUUCAGGUUGCCGAGCUGCCGAGCUUAAAUAGGGAGAGGACCCUAAAUUAUCCAGGUGGGCCCAUGUGACCACAAGGGUCUUUAAGGGUCAAACAGAGGUGACGUUCCUGCUGUGGGGCCUCGGGUUCCGCAGCAGCAGCACCAGGUUCCGUCCCAGCCCGGCACAGUGGUUCAAGGAUCUGGCGUUGCUGCUGCAGCUGCUGCGAUGUCACAGCUGCGGCUCAGACCGGACUCCUGGCCCGGGAACAGGGGUGGAGGCUGGGCUGGCGGGGCUGGCUUGGAAGACGGAGGUUUAACACUGAUACGAGUGUAUACUGGGCUCUCAUUUCCUGGCUCAUGGCUCCCAAACGCUUAUCAUCACCUAGGCGACUAGAGCGUGAGGGACACCUCUCGUUAUAACAUUUGGUUUUUGUCCUUGGUUCCUGAAAUAGCUGUGAAAUAAUGUCGGGAAAAUGGGGGUUUUUCAUAAGAAACCUAUGAGUUCAUGCUCAGGGGGUGACUUCUGGAAAGCUGCCCAGAACACUUUAGGGCUGAUUGAUGAGAAGGCCGGUCGAUUAGAAGGUUGGAACUUUCAGCCCCACCCCUGACCAGGAAGGGGAGGGCCUGGGAGGUUGACUUAAUCACCAGUAGCCAAAAGCUGAAGUCCUGCCUCUGUAAUGACGCCUUCGUAAAAAACAAAAACGAAGGGGUUCGGGGAGCCUACCAGUUGGUGAACAAAACUGCAUCCACACUCCCCGUGGACAGAAGCUCCAGCACGUGGGACCCUUCUGGACCACAGCCCGUGUACCUCUUGGUCUGGCCAUCCAGCCGUAGCCUUUAACAUCCUUGCAAUGAUGUGGGUUUUCUAAGGUGUUUUGAUUCUAUAGACUUAAAGGAAAACACACAACUAGGAGUUGAGAGUUUGGGUUUUAUCUGGGGAGCUCACUGUGGACUUCAGCCCGGGAGACGGGCUCUCGGUAGCUCUGAGGAACUGCUCUGAAGAGGCAGGACAGGGGCCAGCAGCUGUGAGUCUGGUCCAGGGAAGGCACAUGCCAUCCAGGACACAGCUUGGAGUUCCCGUCGUUGCUCCGCAGAAACGAACCUGACUAGUAUCCAUGAGGACACAGAUUCGAUCCCUAGCCUCUCGAAGCGGGUGGAGGAUCUGGUGUUGCUGUGAGCUGUGGUGUAGGCUCUCCAAUGCUGUGAUUCUCACUGCCCUUCCUGCUGGGCGCUGCCACAGAAUAGUGCUUCAUAACAAGCCGAUACUCUAGUAAGUGACUGUCUUCCUGAGGUCGUGAGCCACGCUGGCAAGUCAACUGUGCCCCAGGAGGGGGCUCCAGGAACCUCCGUCGUACAGCCAGUCAUAGAUGCACAGGCGACUACCUGGACUUGCAACUGGCACCUGAAGCUCGGGGGUGCAGGCGGCCUUGAGGAACUGAGCCCUUAGGCUGCGGAUGACGGACCGAAUCAGAGCACACCCAGCUGGUGGUGCAGCGUCACCUGGGGUUGGGGGAAAUAAACAGAAGCGGAGUGCAGAGUAUUCGGUGGGAAGUGAGUCAGGGAAACCUUUUAUCUAUACAGGGGGCCAUGAGCCAAGAAAGGCAGGCAGCUCUAGAAGCUAGAGAGGGCAGGAAACAGACUCCCCCUCCCGCCUCCAGAGAGAACAGCCUGCAGACACCUCGAUUCUAGCCCAGCGAGACUCAGGACAGACGUCCAUCGAAGAAAGUUUUAGGGUGAUAAAUGUGUGUUGUUUAAACGGCUAAAUUUGCAAUAAUUUCUAACAGCAGCCGUAGAAAUCUAAUACAGCUAACGAAGAGAAUUUCCACGUGGAAUCGCAAAUACUAUAUGAUUCCAACUUUGUAAAGCCCAAGAAUAGGCCAAUGUAAUCUACCAUGGGAAAAACAAACCAAAACAGAACAGAACAGUGGUUCUGUGUGGGAAUGGGGUGGAGAGGAGCUGGGAGCCAGAGGGAACCUCUGAAUUGAUGGUGCUGCUCUAUGCACUGAUAAGGUCAGCAAAGUGUACGCAUUUAUCCAAACGCGGGGAAUAGGAGUUCCCGUCGUGGCUCAGUGGGAAGGAAGCCGACUAGGAUCCACGAGGACGCGGGGAUCGAACCUGCAACCUCACUGUUCCUAGUUGGAUUCGUUUCCGCUGUGCCACAAUGGGAACUCCAUAAUUUUUUUUUUAAAGUUGGUUGCGCCCACAGCAUGUGGAAAUUCCCAGGCCAGGAACUGAACCCAAGGCACAGCAGUGACUAUGCCAAAUCCCCAACUUUCAGGCUACCAGGGAACUCCCAUGGCUAAAUUUUAUUUCCUUCCUUCUAUUGGUAUCUUAUAAGCUUCCCUCAAUAACCAUGGGUUCUAUCAUGAUUGAAAGGUUAUUCUUUAAAAGCCAGUGCCAAUGGCAGCCUUUUCGCCGUGGAUGGGGACUUUCGGAUCCCACGAAGGCCGGCAAGAACCACGUGGAGACACAACCACAGGGCUUUGGAGAACAGGCGCUGGCACUCUCCCGACAGGUUCUCAACCAGCGCUGCCUCAUCUUCUGAAAACGGGACAAGGUGACACUGGAAUUGGAAGGCUUUUCAUCUGCAGACUUGCAUGGGGUCUCGGAGGGGAAAGUGUGGUAAGGGGACAGACGGUGCUUGACGAGGGGACUCCACAGAAGGGUCUGGAAAGAAGAGUGGGAGGAAGCCCAGGGUGUGCUUGUGGGGCGUGGCUCCGAGGCCCUUGAUGGGGAGGCGUGCCUCUUGUCCCUGCAUCCCCUGCCUGGGGAAGGAUGCUGCACAUCUCCAGAACUGGCGACAGAGACCCUCGGCCCUGGCCUUGGCCAGCCCGGCUACGCUUCCAGAUAAAGCCAAGACUUUGCACCUGACACCCAGCACUUAGCUUGAGUCCUGCUGGUCAGGGGGUAGCUCCCCUUUACAGACUUAACCCGGGGUCGGAAUGGCCAAGUGACUGGCCCAGGGUCACUCAUAUUUGUGUAGAACAAAACUUAACGCUAUUGGUCUCUCAUCCAGAAUAUUUCUUCAUGCCUGCAGUCUUGGCUGAAGAAAAUUUACAUAAGACCCUCUGCUCUUUUACAAAGAGAGAAAAAUGGGUAAAAUUAAUUGAGAUCCUUGCAUUCUACUUUCCAGCAAACACCCUAAAAAAAGUUUGCCCUAAAAAAAGUCAGUGAAGGCCUAUCUAUUCUGAAAGAGCAAGAAAACACAAUGCUUCCUUCCACGAAUAACACAUGAACACUACAGCUCAUUUUCUCUAAAAGACGGACUCUGCUUCCGGGGGAAACAGGCAAACGGGCAGAGCUGAAGAAGCACCAGACGAUACAGUUUCUCCUGUCAAAGCCCCGGACACAUGAGGCUCAGUGAAUGGGAGAAAACUCCACACACACGCGGGCGCUGAGUGCUGGCCGGAGGGUGUCCUCACCAAAGCUCAGGUCCACCUGCAACGUGUGCCGGUGACCUUGCUUGGAAAGGGCUUUAAAGAUGGGAUAGGAUGAGGCCACAUGGGAAGAGCAAGGCCCUCCUCUGAUGACCGGGCUCCUUCCGAGCAGAGGGACAUGUGGGCACAGACGUGGAGGAAAGGCCACAUGGACGCGGACAGGGGCUGGAGUGGGGCGGCCACCAGCCGGCAGCGCCUGCAAAUGCUGGACGGCGCCCCCAGCAUCUCCAGAGAGGACGCGGCUCUGCCCACCCUGGAUUUCAGACUUGUGGCCUCCGGGACCAGGAGAGAAUCGUCUCCUGGUCCUUUAAGGCCCGCGGUUUGCGGUGAUCUGCGACGACAGCCCCAGGACACUGACAGAGGCAAGACCUCCAUUCCUGGGACCUGCCAGACCAGCGGCCUCAGAGGCCACGAGACAGGGAGGCAGCGAGCGCCCAGCUCCAGGCAGGUUCCUACAGCGCCUGCACGUCUCCUGCACGUUGACAGAGCCGCCCCGCUCCCGCUCGCAGGCAGAGCCGAACGUCUAACAGUGUUUGUCUAACACACAACCAGGGUGGAAGACGGCCUGACGCCCCGAGCACCAACCUGAUUCUUGUCCUGUGACUCCUGAGCGUUGGAGGUUUGGGCCAGCAUCACGCCCCCUGGGAGGGAGAUGAGACGCGUGGGCUGGAGGGAGGGCAGAGGGGCCAAGAAGGCCCGAGACGUUCUGUCUCAUCCCCCCUGCCCGCAGGCUGUGCUUCACGGGCUCCCAGAGCCGCCACACUGGGCCCUGUCCCAUCUGUCUUCCCUGAGCCAGGGCCACGUGCAGCCUUGUCCUCCUCUGGCAGCAUCUCGGCUGGUGCCACCUGAGGUCAGAACCCCCCCAAACUGAGGGGGGCCUUUGCCAGGCAUCGCUCACCAAGAAUAGCUCCUCAUGGAUUUCUGAGCAGGCCCCCACUUUAAUUUUCCUCCCGGCGUUGAGAGAGCAAACGCUGAGUCCAUCACCAAAUGUCUGUGUUUCAGGACAAGAGACACGAGACACGAAGCGAGAGCCUUGCUGUCAGAGGGCAUUUCUCACCCUCUCGCUAGACAUGGCCCUGUCUCCGGGUCUGGCAGCUGGAUGUGAAGGGGACACGUCCUUCCCAGCAGAGCCAUUAACAGUGGCUGCCUUCACCUCUCCUCCCAACUGCUGGCCGGAAGGCUGAACCUGAGUCAGAAUUCAAGGGCAUCUUUGAGCUCGGAUGCCAGGAAAAAAUCACAUCUUUAUUUCAAACCUUGACCUGGUCUUUCUGUUGCCUUCAACUGUGAACACAGGUUAAAAAAAAAAAAA
RNAcentral lists this long non-coding RNA (5290 nucleotides) under Sus scrofa (pig). Its description in RNAcentral is "lncRNA (ENSSSCG00040049607.1)". Lineage: Eukaryota; Metazoa; Chordata; Mammalia; Artiodactyla; Suidae. The record is from RNAcentral.